This 610-nucleotide ribosomal RNA is filed under the name uncultured marine bacterium. Its description in RNAcentral is "bacterial SSU rRNA". It matches the Rfam family "Bacterial small subunit ribosomal RNA", at positions 59 to 699 of the family's 1533-position model. The record is from RNAcentral.
CAGUCGAACGGAGGCCCGAAGCUUGCUUCGGAUACCUUAGUGGCGAACGGGUGAGUAACACGUGGGAAUCUACCUAGAAAUGGGGAAUAACUAUUGGAAACGAUAGCUAAUACCGCAUAAUCCCUUCGGGGCAAAGGCUUCGGCCGUUUUUAGAUGAGCCCGCGCUAGAUUAGGUUGUUGGUAGGGUAAAAGCCUACCAAGCCUACUAUCUAUAGCUGGUCUGAGAGGAUGAUCAGCCACACUGGGACUGAGACACGGCCCAGACUCCUACGGGAGGCAGCAGUGGGGAAUAUUGGACAAUGGGGGAAACCCUGAUCCAGCAAUGCCGCGUGAGUGAAGAAGGCCUUAGGGUUGUAAAACUCUUUCAGAAGUGAAGAUGAUGACUGUAACUUCAGAAGAAGCUCCGGCUAACUCCGUGCCAGCAGCCGCGGUAAUACGGAGGGAGCUAGCGUUGUUCGGAAUUACUGGGCGUAAAGGGCGCGUAGGCGGUAUGAUUAGUCAGAGGUGAAAUCCCUAAGCUUAACUUAGGAACUGCCUUUGAUACUGUCAUACUAGAGAUCGAGAGAGGUGAGUGGAAUUCCAAGUGUAGAGGUGAAAUUCGUAGAUAUUU